This 502-nucleotide ribosomal RNA is filed under the name uncultured bacterium. RNAcentral describes it as "bacterial SSU rRNA". It matches the Rfam family "Bacterial small subunit ribosomal RNA", at positions 333 to 849 of the family's 1533-position model. The record is from RNAcentral.
AUACACCUUACGGGUGGCAGCAGUAGGGAAUAUUGGGCAAUGGGCGAAAGCCUGACCCAGCAACGCCGCGUGUGUGAUGAAGGCCUUCGGGUCGUAAAGCACUUUUCUGGGAGAUGAGAAAGGACAGUAUCCCAGGAAUAAGUCUCGGCUAACUACGUGCCAGCAGCCGCGGUAAAACGUAGGAGGCGAGCGUUAUCCGGAUUCACUGGGCGUAAAGCGCGUGCAGGUGGCGCGGUAAGUUGGGCGUGAAAUCUCCCGGCUCAACUGGGAGAGGUCGUCCAAUACUACCGUGCUUGAGAGCAGAAGAGGAAGAUGGAAUUCCCGGUGUAGUGGUGAAAUGCGUAGAUAUCGGGAGGAACACCAGUGGCGAAGGCGAUCUUCUGGUCUGUUUCUGACACUCAGACGCGACAGCUAGGGUAGUAAACGGGAUUAGAGACCCCGGUAAUCCUAGCCGUAAACGAUGUGAACUUGGCGUUGGUGGGUUAAACUCCAUCAGUGCCGA